Molecule: ribosomal RNA, 321 nt
Filed under: Triticum aestivum (bread wheat)
Lineage: Eukaryota; Viridiplantae; Streptophyta; Magnoliopsida; Poales; Poaceae
Description: partial small subunit ribosomal RNA
Source: RNAcentral
AUGGACUUAUCUUUAUCCCUGGAAUCGCUCCAACGACUCAGCCAUACAACUAGCUACUCAUGCAUGCUAACAAACUCAUCCAUGAAGCUAGCUAACCACUUGCAUGCAUCUAACCAAUCCAUCCAGCCGGUGCCGCUUCGCCGUCCAUGCGCUUGCCGUACGCACGGCCGUGCCGCCUCGCGCAGCUUUGCAGCCUCUCGCUGUCAUCGGCAUCUCGCCGUGCUCGCCAUCUCACACGGCAGCUUGGCAUCACGCCUUUUUCGCACGCCUCCCCUGAACCCUUGCCGACCUACAACUUCUGAACCUACACUACAUGCCUAA